This is a non-coding RNA of Bactrocera oleae (olive fruit fly), 2080 nucleotides long. The record is from RefSeq and is a predicted model, not a curated record. NCBI's taxonomy places the organism in Eukaryota, Metazoa, Arthropoda, Insecta, Diptera, Tephritidae.
UUUUUUUUUUUUUUUUUUUGAAAGCAUCAAUAGCUUUUAUAUUAUGUAAAUAAGCAAACACGUUAUUAUGCCACUUUUUGUUUUAAUCACUUGUUUAAAUAAGGAUUAUGUGGUGGUAUAAUUAUUUGCUAAACGGUUGCGUACAGAUUGCCUUCUACUUUCUAUUAUCCUCUGAUAACGAUGAGUUUACACAAUACUAUUUAUGAUACAUAGAACUUAUAGAUAUAUAGAUAUAUUAUUAAGUAGGUAUGCAUCAAAAAGUUCAGAAUGGUGUGCGUAUUGAUUUCAUUAAUUUGUCCCUUUGCACAAUCGGGUCAUCCGAUAAUUCAUGUGACAAUUGAGAUAUCAUAAUUUAACUGCUGCACUUAUAAAUGGGAUUAAUUAAAAUUUAUAUAUAUAUAUAUAUAUGUAUUUAUAUUUGUUAUCUGCAAUAUGGACUCUUUACACCUUUUUAUGCCAUAAUCACCGCUGCGUUAAGCUUGUGAUGAGCGAACAGAAUAAUCUAAUCACCAAGUGUAUUGUUAAUAGUUUAAUGCUGCUGUUCAUCAGACAAAAACUGACACCCUCGUAGAAAGAUGCUGACUUCUUCUUUCCAUUAUAACAUACGUGGACAAUUCGCAGAGAUUUUUAAGAGAGUUUUCAAAUAAUUUUAUACAAAUAUGCUCAUACUUUUCGUGAAGAGAGUAAAAAAUUUGUGGAGAGUUUCGAAGCUAACGAUUUAAGUUCUGUGACUUUAAACGAAAUUAUACCAAAAUAUGCACUCAACGCUAUCAGUGUGUUUUUAUAAACUGAUGUCCUUUUCUUGGAUCCACCGUGGUUAUAACGUUUUCGACAUAUAGGACACUAUUUACUGCAGCCGUUUGCAUAGUUUUGACUGUUCCUUGGUCUCUGGUAUGAGCCAGUGCAGUCAUGUUUCAUGGACGGUCUCAGAAUGACAAAGAAAUUCAUGCGAGUUGCGGUUAAACAGCAGCGAAGUAAGCAUAGGUGGCACUCAGCGCGCAGACAGUUUUUCAUGCCCAGAAUUGAAUGCGCGGACUUUCGAAUUGUCUACUAUCUCAGCUACCUCGUGCUUGUUCAAGCAUCUGUCUAUCAAUACGAGAUAGUGAGCGAAUGAACUAUGUUUUCGAGUUAUACUCCAGGAAUGGUCUAUAAUUUUCUGAAACACAAAAACAGUUAUAAUCAAAACCCUUAAAAUUACAAAAACCUUAGACAGUGAAUUUGGGGUUUGGCAUAUAACAAAAUUCUUUAUUCUUAUUUUGGCUAAGUACUUUCGAACCGCGACUUUACUGAGUGUUAUGUAUAUAUUUUGUGAAAUCCUUGACCUCGCUUUACAUAGAACACAUUGGGUGUCAAUUAGAUGAUCAAAUGAAUAUCGAUCAAUAUAUUUCCAGUUUCAAAAAAAUCAAAAAAGUAUUACUGAUGCGAUUUGCCAAUCCACUUUAUAUUUUGAAUCUCAUAUACAAAAUAUUUUUAGCGCACAAAAUUUAGAAACCCAUUUCAACUGUCUACAACUUCGCCAGCCAGACAAUUGACAAGCGUCGGCAAUUAUUCGCAGAAGAGCUAGCAUAAACAAUAUUAAAAAUAAAAUAAAUAACUUGUAUAUUACUGUACCUAUAUAUAUGGAUCACUAAAAAUAAUGACAAAUAUUCUUGAAUAGUUUGAAAUCAAGUAGUAGUGUGUAUUUCCAACUUCUUCUGUUGUAUCCAUUAGCUGUGGCAUCAUAGCUGUCACUCACGGGAUAAGUUCCGGUAAUGAUCAAAAUCUAUGAAAUUUCUACUUACGUUAAAAGAAGUUCAAAAUCGUCAGCUCUGGAAAUAUUAACGAUUUAUUUUGAGGUUAGAACUGAGUUUCCGAAAAGAGAAAAGUUAAAAAUGUUAACCUUAAAGACCAUAAAUAAUAUUAUUCCUCACUAUAAUCACUAUCUUAUAAUAAAUUAUUUAUUUUCAAACGUUGUUAUGUAAUUCAAUUUUAAAUCUUUGUGCAUUACAUUACGCUCAAGAAUGCAAAAAAUAUUUAUUUACAUAUUAAAUUUAAUUUUAUUAAUAUAUAAUAAUAUUAAUAUUAAAUACAUUAUUCAGAC